This 491-nucleotide ribosomal RNA is filed under the name uncultured bacterium. RNAcentral describes it as "bacterial SSU rRNA". It matches the Rfam family "Bacterial small subunit ribosomal RNA", at positions 26 to 507 of the family's 1533-position model. The record is from RNAcentral.
CGAGGACGAACGCUGGCGGCGCGCCUAACACAUGCAAGUCGAACGGAAGUGUUCAAUCGGAAGUUUUUCGGACGGAAGAGUGGACAGUUUAGUGGCGAACGGGUGAGUAACGCGUGAGUAACCNGCCUUUCAGGAGGGGGACAACAGUUGGAAACGACUGCUAAUACCGCAUAAGCCCACGGUACCACAUGGUACAGUGAAGAAAGGAGAAAUCCGCUGAAAGAUGGACUCGCGUCUGAUUAGAUAGUUGGUGGGGUAACGGCCUACCAAGUCGACGAUCAGUAGCCGGACUGAGAGGUUGAACGGCCACAUUGGGACUGAGAGACGGCCCAGACUCCUACGGGGAGGCAGCAGGUGGGGAAUAUUGCACAUGGGGGGAACCCUGAUGCAGCGACGCCGCGUGAAGGAAGAAGGUAUUCGUAUUGUAAACUUCUGUCGCAGAUGACGAAAAGAUGACGGUAAUCUGCAAGAAAGCACCGGCUAACUACGUG